This 941-nucleotide long non-coding RNA is filed under the name Anser brachyrhynchus (Pink-footed goose). RNAcentral's name for it is "lncRNA (ENSABRG00000016522.1)". The record is from RNAcentral. Lineage: Eukaryota; Metazoa; Chordata; Aves; Anseriformes; Anatidae.
CUGAACAGUAUUAGUCAAAUCAUGGAAGAGUUAUGUGAGGAAGUUCUCUUACUGAAGUAUCUUCCCUUGUAAGGGAUGACAGUCAUUAGUGAAAUUCAGAAUCCUCUGGUAUUAUAAAUAAGGUGUACAUCCUCUCCUUCCCCUGAUCCCGCAGUCCCACAGCAACAGCUGAGGUUCUUUCAUGCACCUCAGCUGGGACUGAAAUGAGUGGUGCUCACAUUCAGUAGGUUGGCCAGGAUGACAAGAGCUCAAGGAUGUGUCUGGGGAGUAUAUCUUCAGGGUCUGCUGAGUGCUGUAGUGAUUGGCAGGGCUGUGGAAGAGUCCCUGAAACCUGCACAGUAGUAGCACAGGAGGAGAGGGUCUCACAGGUAAACACAGGGCCUGCUGCCAACAUGGAGGACAAGCCUGAGCCCUUUCUCAGCUCCAGCUGUUGCAAAUGCUCGUCUUUGUUCCCAUAACAGCUCCCAGAGAAGUCUCUCAGUCCUAAGACAUACGCAAGCUUCUAUAACAUUCACAGAAACAGGACUUGGGAGACUUUCAUUUUCCUGCACUAUUACUGCUGUGGAAGUAGAGUGUGACCACUAUGCUAUCACAUAGCAAGACAGCCAGAGUUUUCCCUGGAAGAGGUGAAUAAUGGUUGGAGGAGCAAACAUUGCCCCAGCAGUUGAUUGCCUCCUCUCAGCCCAGCACCCAGACCCUAUUGCUUUACACAGGGAUGGAGAGAGCCAGAAGCUCCAAAGGGGAGGUACUCUCAGCCUGUUCUACCUAGUAAUAGAGAAAAACAGAGAUGUAUACAAAACAUCUAGUUUUCUGAUGCCUAUGGAACAAUAUUUGAACAUCUUGGACCUUCUUCGGGCAACCAAGGAUGGAAGAAGUCUAUAUUAAGUACAGAUCAGAUAAGAAAUAAUAAAUGAAUUCUUGCUUUUAUUAUAUUAGUUGAA